AAAAAAAAUCCUCAGGGCCAGGAUGGCAGCGGUGGUGGCGGCGGCAGCGGCGGCGGCGGCGGCGGCUUCAGGAAGCGGGACUCCCCGAAAGGAAGACGGACCCGCUAGGGAAGCAGCGGCCUCGCAGUCCCCAGCCCCAACUAGUGUGCCUGGGGCACAUCUCUCGAGGCUGCCUCUGGCGUGAGUAAACGCCUUGGUGAAGGCGGACCACGACGUGUCGCUAGCAGGACAGGAAGCCAUCUUCAUUCUGGCACCAGCAGCGGAGCUAUUUGUGGAGACCACUGCAAAAGAUGCCUACUGCUGCGCUCAGCAGGGAGAAAGGAAACCCCUUCAGAGGAGAGGCUUGGAUAAUGCAAUAGAAGCUGUGGAUGAAUUUGCUUUUUUGGAAGGUACUUUGGAUUGAUUGCUGAGUGGGGCAGAUUUGUGAGCCUUCAUCUGCAGCCUUCAGUUCACCCCUCUCUACAGGACUCAGCUUUGAAGAACGGAGUCUUUGCACUUAAAGACACUCUUGUUGUUCUGCCGUCACCUAUGCUGGGAUAAGCAGAGAUCUCAUCAAUUAGCUUUUCUCUGCAAGGUCUUCCACUACUUCUGUCUUCCAUGUCAAGCCUGGAUGCAGCUGCUGGUGCUUGGAGCAGAGAUGAAGAAGUGUUCUGCAUACGUGGCUUACUGAAUGAUGAGGACCAAAAAUAAAGGUUUUUGAUCA
Callithrix jacchus (white-tufted-ear marmoset) is the source of this 703-nucleotide non-coding RNA. The record is from RefSeq and is a predicted model, not a curated record. Lineage: Eukaryota; Metazoa; Chordata; Mammalia; Primates; Cebidae.